This is a small nucleolar RNA of Carcharodon carcharias (great white shark), 69 nucleotides long. RefSeq annotates it as small nucleolar RNA SNORD123. The record is from RefSeq and is a predicted model, not a curated record. NCBI's taxonomy places the organism in Eukaryota, Metazoa, Chordata, Chondrichthyes, Lamniformes, Lamnidae. The transcript has a single exon.
UGUGAAAAUGAUGAUUUAGGGGAUCUGAAAACAUCUGAAGCUAAGAUGCCAUCCAUUUCCUGAUUCACA